GGGGAGGUGGCUGAGUGGCCGAAAGCACCCGCCUGCUAAGCGGGUAGGGGGUGUAAAGCUCCCUCGAGGGUUCGAGUCCCUCCCUUCCCGCCA
RNAcentral lists this transfer RNA (93 nucleotides) under Chloroflexota bacterium. RNAcentral describes it as "Chloroflexi bacterium tRNA-Ser". It matches the Rfam family "tRNA". From Rfam's summary of the family: Transfer RNA (tRNA) molecules are approximately 80 nucleotides in length. Their secondary structure includes four short double-helical elements and three loops (D, anti-codon, and T loops). Further hydrogen bonds mediate the characteristic L-shaped molecular structure. tRNAs have two regions of fundamental functional importance: the anti-codon, which is responsible for specific mRNA codon recognition, and the 3' end, to which the tRNAs corresponding amino acid is attached (by aminoacyl-tRNA synthetases). tRNAs cope with the degeneracy of the genetic code in two manners: having more than one tRNA (with a specific anti-codon) for a particular amino acid; and 'wobble' base-pairing, i.e. permitting non-standard base-pairing at the 3rd anti-codon position. The record is from RNAcentral. Lineage: Bacteria; Bacillati; Chloroflexota.